UAACGAAUCUUCCGCAAUGGGCGCAAGCCUGACGGAGCAAUGCCGCGUGUGGGAUGAAGCGUCUCUGACGUGUAAACCACUGUCAGGGGUUAGAAACAAUGAUCAACCCCAAAGGAAGUGGCGACUAACUCUGUGCCAGCAGUCGCGGUAAUACAGAGGCCACAAGCGUUAGUCGGAAUCACUGGGCUUAAAGGGUGCGUAGGCUGGUCCGCAAGCGUCUUGUGAAAGCCCUCGGCUCAACCGAGGAACAGCAGGGCGAACUGCGGAUCUUGAGGCAGGUAGGGGUCGCGAGAACAGUAGGUGGAGCGGUGAAAUGCGUAGAUAUCUACUGGAAUGCCGAUGGUGAAGACGCGCGACUGGGCCUGUCCUGACGCUGAGGCACGAAAGCGUGGGGAGCAAACAGGAUUAGAUACCCCCGUAGUCCCUGAGCGGGCUGGCAAGGCGCAU
RNAcentral lists this ribosomal RNA (447 nucleotides) under uncultured bacterium. RNAcentral's name for it is "bacterial SSU rRNA". It matches the Rfam family "Bacterial small subunit ribosomal RNA", at positions 355 to 825 of the family's 1533-position model. The record is from RNAcentral.